This 548-nucleotide ribosomal RNA is filed under the name Amphiprion clarkii (yellowtail clownfish). RNAcentral describes it as "partial 16S ribosomal RNA". It matches the Rfam family "Bacterial large subunit ribosomal RNA", at positions 1914 to 2603 of the family's 2925-position model. Lineage: Eukaryota; Metazoa; Chordata; Actinopteri; Pomacentridae. The record is from RNAcentral.
GACUGUAUGUUCAACGGCCGCGGUACUUUGACCGUGCGAAGGUAGCGCAAUCACUUGUCUUUUAAAUGAAGACCUGUAUGAAUGGCACGACGAGGGCUUAACUGUCUCCUUUUUCCAGUCAAUGAAAUUGAUCUUCCCGUGCAGAAGCGGGAAUAGUACCAUAAGACGAGAAGACCCUGUGGAGCUUUAGAACACUGAAUCAGCCCUUGUCCAAAAUCCCAGUUAAGGCUAUGAACACUAGAGUGAGAUCUGAUUUAAUGUCUUCGGUUGGGGCGACCUUGGGGAAAGAAAAAUCCCCCAUGCGGAACGGAAAAUACUAUGCUUCCAAAACUAAGAGCAACCACUCGAAGUAUCAAAAAUUUUGACCAAACUAUAUGAUCCGGCUUAGCGCCGAUCAACGGACCAAGUUACCCCAGGGAUAACAGCGCAAUCCUCUUUUAGAGCCCAUAUCGACAAGAGGGUUUACGACCUCGAUGUUGGAUCAGGACAUCCUAAUGGUGCAGCCGCUAUUAAGGGUUCGUUUGUUCAACGAUUAAAGUCCUACGUGA